RNAcentral lists this ribosomal RNA (485 nucleotides) under Streptococcus mutans. RNAcentral's name for it is "bacterial SSU rRNA". It matches the Rfam family "Bacterial small subunit ribosomal RNA", at positions 28 to 489 of the family's 1533-position model. Lineage: Bacteria; Bacillati; Bacillota; Bacilli; Lactobacillales; Streptococcaceae. The record is from RNAcentral.
GACGAACGCUGGCGGCGUGCCUAAUACAUGCAAGUGGGACGCAAGGGAACACACUGUGCUUGCACACCGUGUUUUCUUGAGUCGCGAACGGGUGAGUAACGCGUAGGUAACCUGCCUAUUAGCGGGGGAUAACUAUUGGAAACGAUAGCUAAUACCGCAUAAUAUUAAUUAUUGCAUGAUAAUUGAUUGAAAGAUGCAAGCGCAUCACUAGUAGAUGGACCUGCGUUGUAUUAGCUAGUUGGUAAGGUAAGAGCUUACCAAGGCGACGAUACAUAGCCGACCUGAGAGGGUGAUCGGCCACACUGGGACUGAGACACGGCCCAGACUCCUACGGGAGGCAGCAGUAGGGAAUCUUCGGCAAUGGACGAAAGUCUGACCGAGCAACGCCGCGUGAGUGAAGAAGGUUUUCGGAUCGUAAAGCUCUGUUGUAAGUCAAGAACGUGUGUGAGAGUGGAAAGUUCACACAGUGACGGAGCUACCAGAAA